This 226-nucleotide long non-coding RNA is filed under the name Panax ginseng (ginseng). RNAcentral describes it as "long non-coding RNA (PGIN_LNC003784)". Lineage: Eukaryota; Viridiplantae; Streptophyta; Magnoliopsida; Apiales; Araliaceae. The record is from RNAcentral.
UCAUACCAUCAUACCGAUGAUUAUAGAAGAGAAUCUAAGGUCAGCUAUAUACUGUUGCACUUAUUCGAUAGGAGUGUUCACGGGCAGCUCAGUCAUGCUGUACGUGUGGUUUAUGUCAAACUUGAGAGUGAUUAGCACUUUUAGACGGCAUGGGUAUUGGUUCACCCAUGAUAUACCCAUGUCGUAAUCCUUUCAGUCAUCGGAGUGUAUAGAUACUAUGUCUUGG